AGAGAGGUCCUCCUGGUGAGCAGGGGCCUCCAGGGCCUCCUGGGCCUCCUGGAGUUCCGGGCAUAGAUGGCAUUGAUGGUGACCGAGGUCCAAAGGGUCCCGUGGGCCCUCCGGGUCCUCCUGGAGACCCGGGCAAGCCAGGAGCGCCAGGCAAGCCAGGCACACCAGGCGCUGAUG
Molecule: long non-coding RNA, 177 nt
Organism: Microtus ochrogaster (prairie vole)
Lineage: Eukaryota; Metazoa; Chordata; Mammalia; Rodentia; Cricetidae
Gene: Col9a1
Exons: 3
Source: RefSeq, a predicted model, not a curated record